GCCAGCGUGCCGACUGUUGGUAGUCGGAGCGGACUGUAAAUCCGUCGCCUUCGGGCAUCGGGGGUUCGAUUCCCUCCGCUGUGCACCA
RNAcentral lists this transfer RNA (88 nucleotides) under Rhodococcus sp. Leaf225. RNAcentral's name for it is "tRNA-Tyr". It matches the Rfam family "tRNA". Rfam says of the family: Transfer RNA (tRNA) molecules are approximately 80 nucleotides in length. Their secondary structure includes four short double-helical elements and three loops (D, anti-codon, and T loops). The record is from RNAcentral. RNAcentral also lists the same sequence under 1 other name. Lineage: Bacteria; Bacillati; Actinomycetota; Actinomycetes; Mycobacteriales; Nocardiaceae.